CAGCAGCCGCGGUAAUACGGAGGGUGCAAGCGUUAAUCGGAAUUACUGGGCGUAAAGCGCACGCAGGCGGUCUGUCAAGUCAGAUGUGAAAUCCCCGGGCUUAACCUGGGAACUGCAUUUGAAACUGGCAGGCUAGAGUCUUGUAGAGGGGGGUAGAAUUCCAGGUGUAGCGGUGAAAUGCGUAGAGAUCUGGAGGAAUACCGGUGGCGAAGGCGGCCCCCUGGACAAAGACUGACGCUCAGGUGCGAAAGCGUGGGGAGCAAACAGGAUUAGAUACCCCUGUAGUCCCUGUCUCUUAUAC
Molecule: ribosomal RNA, 301 nt
Filed under: uncultured bacterium
Lineage: Bacteria
Description: partial 16S ribosomal RNA
Rfam family: Bacterial small subunit ribosomal RNA
Source: RNAcentral